Molecule: ribosomal RNA, 468 nt
Filed under: uncultured bacterium
Lineage: Bacteria
Description: partial 16S ribosomal RNA
Rfam family: Bacterial small subunit ribosomal RNA
Source: RNAcentral
GACGAACGCUGGCGGCGUGCUUAACACAUGCAAGUCGAACGGAAAGGCCCUGCUUUUGUGGGGUGCUCGAGUGGCGAACGGGUGAGUAACACGUGAGUAACCUGCCCUUGACUUUGGGAUAACUUCAGGAAACUGGGGCUAAUACCGGAUAGGAGCUCCUGCUGCAUGGUUGGGGUUGGAAAGUUUCGGCGGUUGGGGAUGGACUCGCGGCUUAUCAGCUUGUUGGUGGAGUAGUGGCUUACCAAGGCUUUGACGGGUAGCCGGCCUGAGAGGGUGACCGGCCACAUUGGGACUGAGAUACGGCCCAGACUCCUACGGGAGGCAGCAGUGGGGAAUAUUGCACAAUGGGCGGAAGCCUGAUGCAGCAACGCCGCGUGCGGGAUGACGGCCUUCGGGUUGUAAACCGCUUUCGCCUGUGACGAAGCGUGAGUGACGGUAAUGGGUAAAGAAGCACCGGCUAACUACGUG